GAUGAACGCUGGCGGCGUGCCUAAUACAUGCAAGUCGAGCGAACAGACGAGGAGCUUGCUCCUCUGACGUUAGCGGCGGACGGGUGAGUAACACGUGGAUAACCUACCUAUAAGACUGGGAUAACUUCGGGAAACCGGAGCUAAUACCGGAUAAUAUAUUGAACCGCAUGGUUCAAUAGUGAAAGACGGUUUUGCUGUCACUUAUAGAUGGAUCCGCGCCGCAUUAGCUAGUUGGUAAUGUAACGGCUUACCAAGGCGACGAUGCGUAGCCGACCUGAGAGGGUGAUCGGCCACACUGGAACGGAGACAAGGUCCAGACUCCUACGGGAAGCAGCAGGAGGGAAUCUUCCGCAAUGGGCGAAAGCCUGACGGAGCAACGGCGCGGGAGUGAUGAAGGUCUUCGGAUCGUAAAACUCUGUUAUUAGGGAAGAACAAAUGUGUAAGUAACUAUGCACGUCUUGACGGUACCUAAUCAGAAAGCCACGGCUAACUACGUG
Molecule: ribosomal RNA, 497 nt
Filed under: uncultured bacterium
Lineage: Bacteria
Description: partial 16S ribosomal RNA
Rfam family: Bacterial small subunit ribosomal RNA
Source: RNAcentral